UCCUUAAAGGGCAGAGGGCAAUGCAC
This 26-nucleotide non-coding RNA is filed under the name Rattus norvegicus (Norway rat). Lineage: Eukaryota; Metazoa; Chordata; Mammalia; Rodentia; Muridae. The record is from RNAcentral.